Molecule: ribosomal RNA, 286 nt
Filed under: Volvox carteri f. nagariensis
Lineage: Eukaryota; Viridiplantae; Chlorophyta; Chlorophyceae; Chlamydomonadales; Volvocaceae
Description: large subunit ribosomal RNA
Rfam family: Bacterial large subunit ribosomal RNA (bases 1-251)
Source: RNAcentral
UUUAGAGCAUUUAAACACAGGCCUUCCUUCUUAUAGAGUACUAUAUAAUAUAAUAGGUAUACUCGAACAACGGACAAAAGCUACGCUAGGGAUAACAGUCUAACACGCCCUUAGAGUUCCUAUCGAUGGGCGUACGAGGAACCUCGAUGUUGGAUCAUCGCGUCCUGUGGCUGAAGAAGGUCAUAAGGGUUGGAUUGUUCAUCCAUUAAAGCGGUACGUGAUCUGAGUUAAGAACGUCAAAAUGGCGUUUGCUUUUAAAGCAUCGGCUUAUUCGGCGAAAACUUCU